This 503-nucleotide ribosomal RNA is filed under the name uncultured bacterium. RNAcentral describes it as "partial 16S ribosomal RNA". It matches the Rfam family "Bacterial small subunit ribosomal RNA", at positions 30 to 523 of the family's 1533-position model. The record is from RNAcentral.
AUUGAACGCUGGCGGCAGGCUUAACACAUGCAAGUCGAGCGGGGUUAUGGUGCUUGCACUAUCACUUAGCGGCGGACGGGUGAGUAAUGCUUAGGAAUCUGCCUAUUAGUGGGGGACGACAUCUCGAAAGGGAUGCUAAUACCGCAUACGUCCUACUGGGUAAAGCAGGGGGUCACUUGUGACCUUGCGCUAAUCGAUGAGCCUAAGUCGGAUUAGCUAGUUGGUGGGGUAAAGGCCUACCAAGGCGACGAUCUGUAGCGGGUCUGAGAGGAUGAUCCGCCACACUGGGACUGAGAAACGGCCCAGACUCCUACGGGAGGCAGCAGUGGGGAAUAUUGGACAAUGGGGGGAACCCUGAUCCAGCCAUGCCGCGUGUGUGAAGAAGGCCUUAUGGUUGUAAAGCACUUUAAGCGAGGAGGAGGCUCUUUUGGUUAAUACCCAGAAUGAGUGGACGUUACUCGCAGAAUAAGCACCGGCUAACUCUGUGCCAGCCGCCGCGGUAA